GUGCUCGCUUCAGCAGCACAUAUAUUAAAGUUGGAAUGAUACAGAAAAGAUUAGCAUGGUCCCUGUGCAAGAAUGACACGCAAAACAGUUAGAGCCAUAAAAGUAGC
This is a small nuclear RNA of Heterocephalus glaber (naked mole-rat), 107 nucleotides long. Lineage: Eukaryota; Metazoa; Chordata; Mammalia; Rodentia; Bathyergidae. The record is from Ensembl.